This 671-nucleotide ribosomal RNA is filed under the name Prevotella sp. P5-64. Its description in RNAcentral is "bacterial SSU rRNA". It matches the Rfam family "Bacterial small subunit ribosomal RNA", at positions 859 to 1533 of the family's 1533-position model. Lineage: Bacteria; Pseudomonadati; Bacteroidota; Bacteroidia; Bacteroidales; Prevotellaceae. The record is from RNAcentral.
GUUAAGCAUCCCACCUGGGGAGUACGCCGGCAACGGUGAAACUCAAAGGAAUUGACGGGGGCCCGCACAAGCGGAGGAACAUGUGGUUUAAUUCGAUGAUACGCGAGGAACCUUACCCGGGCUUGAAUUGCAGGAGAACGAUCCAGAGAUGGUGAGGCCCUUCGGGGCUCCUGUGAAGGUGCUGCAUGGUUGUCGUCAGCUCGUGCCGUGAGGUGUCGGCUUAAGUGCCAUAACGAGCGCAACCCCUCUCCGUAGUUGCCAUCGGGUGAAGCCGGGCACUCUGCGGAUACUGCCACCGUAAGGUGUGAGGAAGGUGGGGAUGACGUCAAAUCAGCACGGCCCUUACGUCCGGGGCUACACACGUGUUACAAUGGGGCAUACAGAAAGCAGGCGGCCGGCAACGUCCGUCUAAUCAUCAAAGUGUCCCUCAGUUCGGACUGGGGUCUGCAACCCGACCCCACGAAGCUGGAUUCGCUAGUAAUCGCGCAUCAGCCAUGGCGCGGUGAAUACGUUCCCGGGCCUUGUACACACCGCCCGUCAAGCCAUGAAAGCCGGGGGUGCCUGAAGUCCGUGACCGCAAGGAUCGGCCUAGGGCAAAACUGGUAAUUGGGGCUAAGUCGUAACAAGGUAGCCGUACCGGAAGGUGCGGCUGGAACACCUCCUUUCUGGAG